Molecule: ribosomal RNA, 253 nt
Filed under: uncultured bacterium
Lineage: Bacteria
Description: partial 16S ribosomal RNA
Rfam family: Bacterial small subunit ribosomal RNA
Source: RNAcentral
GACAGGGGUCUCGAGCGUUAAUCGGAAUUACUGGGCUUAAAGGGUGCGUAGGCCGGCCCGCAAGUGACUUGUGAAAUCCCCCGGCUCAACCGGGGAACAGCUCGUCAUACUGCGGGUCUUGAGGAAGGUAGGGGUUGCCAGAACUGUAGGUGGAGCGGUGAAAUGCGUAGAUAUCUACAGGAAUGCCGAUGGUGAAGACGGGCAACUGGGCCUUUACUGACGCUGAGGCACGAAAGCGUGGGGAGCAAACAGG